GAAAUGCGAUAAGUAAUGUGAAUUGCAGAAUUCAGUGAAUCAUCGAAUCUUUGAACGCACCUUGCGCUCCUUGGUAUUCCUUGGAGCAUGCCUGUUUGAGUAUCAUGAAAUCUUCAAAGUAAAUCUUUUGUUAACUCAAUUGGUUUCUACUUUGGUAUUGGAGGUCUUUGCAGCUUCACACCUGCUCCUCUUUGUUCAUUAGCUGGAUCUCAGUGUUAUGCUUGGUUCCACUCGGCGUGAUAAGUUAUCUAUCGCCGAGGACACCGUAAAAGGUGGCCAAGGUAAAUGCAGAUGAACCGCUUCUAAUAGUCCAUUGACUUGGACAAUACUUUUAUGAUCUGAUCUCAAAUCAGGUAGGACUACCCGCUGAACUUAAGC
This 378-nucleotide unclassified non-coding RNA is filed under the name plant metagenome. Its description in RNAcentral is "partial contains 5.8S ribosomal RNA, internal transcribed spacer 2, and large subunit ribosomal RNA". The stretch from base 1 to 105 matches the Rfam family "5.8S ribosomal RNA", at positions 50 to 154 of the family's 154-position model. The record is from RNAcentral.